Long non-coding RNA from Esox lucius (northern pike), 4394 nucleotides. The record is from Ensembl. NCBI's taxonomy places the organism in Eukaryota, Metazoa, Chordata, Actinopteri, Esociformes, Esocidae.
AUCUGAUGCGGAUUAAGAGCUUUAUCCAUGGAAUCAGAUUAAGGGAAUCAUUUUAUUUGUGUUCUGUAAAAAAAAAAAAAAGACAAAAGGACCGAAAGAAAAUUACACAGGAACAGUUGGGAGUAAUCAAAGGUAAGUGUGAUAAAUUGGGAAUUGUUGUUUUCUUAUCACACACACCACUGUGAAUCAAGCAUCAAGCACACAAAGACACACUGAAUAUGUGCACUAAAUACCAAUAAAAAACACACACACUCACACACACACACAGAGACACACACACACUUUAAGAGGGCAAUUACAUUAGCCCCAGGGAUGGGAGGCCCCUUUGUUAUCACCAUGUUUCUCAAAGGAUCAGUAACAUCAUUAUAUCUUUGUGGUAAAAAAAAAAGAAGAAUGUCUACAUUUUUGUGGUAUGGGUACACCAUCCCUAUGCUGUCACUCUGUAACGCUGACUCAUACUUCCCCCACAUUCAUUCAAAUGAGCAAGAUCCAUAGGAGAACAUUACACAGAGAAUGUAAGCACUGUACCCAAUAUAAACACUGGCAUACCUACACUACAAUCAGUGAAUUUCAUUUCAAAAUAUAGGCAAAUUAAAAAGACCAGGAACCGCUGUAAGUUUGACCUAAAAUAAUUUGUGGUGGGAAUGGGGUUUCUGGUUGCAGUGUAACUUUAGUUAGAUCAGGUCUGACAGUUUCACAUCAUGGGCAUCCAGACACAAUGCCAGGUAAGGGGGGAUCAUCCAUUUAGGUCAAACUAUCCCUUUAACAAUAACAAUAACAAUUUAAACAAUAACUUUUGAACAAAUACUACAUUACUACUGAUUUUAAUAUAAGUGAUCUUUCAAAAUAAAUAUAUUCAUGAAUUAAAACAUUCUUCUGAAUGACACUUGAAAACUGAUUAAGAAAACAGCGCCACUCUUUAAUCUGUUCGGCAUCUGUUAUAGUUAUUGUCUUGUUGGUGAACUGUGGUAAAAAAUACAGUAAAUAACUUUUUUGUUGCAAAUAAGAUGUACAUCGAUGGUGUCAAAAUGGAUGUGGCUGUUUUACCAAAUACGGAUUCCAGCUUUCAAUCAAUGAUCAUCUCCUAAAGAAACAUGACUAUACAAGUUUGCACGAUAGUGAACUUCAGGUACAAAGUCCUUAAAGAAGUACAGUACUGGAUGUGUCAAAAGUAAGAACAAGAUGAUGUCAUUCAUUCACAAUUUCACAGUGUAUAUCAGGAGGCACACAAACAGACGCACUCACACACACUGUCAUACACGAGUGCAUAUACAUAUACACACACACACACACACACACAAAAUACACUGAGCAAAAUUAUAAACGCAACACUUGUUUUUGCACCCAUUUAUCAUGAGCUGAAUUCAAAGAUCUAAGACUUUCUCUAUGUACACAAAAUGCCUAUUUCUCUCAAAUAUUGUUCACAAAUCUGUGUUACAGGUGUGGCAUAUCAAGAUGCUGAUUAGACAGCAUGAUUAUUGCACAGGUGUGCCUUAGGCUGGCCACAAUAAAAGGCCACUCUAAAAUGUGCAGUUCCAUCACACAGCACAAUGCCACAGAUGGGUCAAGUUUUGAGGGAGCGUGCAAUUGGCAUGCUGACUGCAGGAAUGUCCACCAGAGCUGUUGCCCCUGAAUUUAAUGUUAAUUUCUCUACCAUAAGCCAUCUCCAAAGGCGUUUCAGACAAUUUGGCAGUAGAUCCAACCGGCCUCACAACCACAGACCACUUGUAACCACACCUCGUCGUCCUCAUCGGGUUCUCGACCUGACUGCAGUUUGUCGUCGUAACCGACUUGAGUGGGCAAAUGGUCACAUUCGAUGGCGUCUGCCACUUUGAAGAGGUGUUCUCUUCACGGAUGAAUCCCGGUUUUCACUGUACAGGGCAGAUGGCAGACAGCGUGUAUGGUGUCGUGUGGGUGAGCAGUUUGCUGAUGUCAACGUUGUGGAUCGAGUGGCCCAUGGUGGCGGUGGGGUUAUGGUAUGGGCAGGCGUGUGUUAUUGACAACGAGCACAGGUGCAUUUAAUUGAUGACAUUUUGAAUGCACAGAGAUACCAUGACGAGAUCCUGAGGCCCAUUGAUGUGCCAUUCAUCCACGACCAUCACCACAUGUUGCAGCAUGAUAAUGCACGGUCUCAUGUUGCAAGGAUCUGUACACAAUUCCUGGAACUGAAAACAUCCCAGUUCUUGCAUGGCCAGCAUACUCACCGGACAUGUCACCUAUUGAGCAUGUUUGGGAUGCUCUGGAUCGGCGUAUACGAGAGCGUUUUCCAGGUCCUGCCAAUAUCCAGCAACUUCGCACAGCCAUUGAAGACCAACAUUCCAUAGGCCACAAUCAAUAACCUGAUCAACUCUAUGCAAAGGAGAUGUGUUGCAUUGUGUGAGGCAAAUGGUGGUCACACCAGAUACUGACUGGUUUUCGGACCCCCCCAAUACAGUGAAACUGCACAUUUUAGAGUGGCUUUUUAUUGUGGCCAGCCUAAGGUACAUCUGUGAAAUAACCAUGCUGUCUAAUCAGCAUCUUGAUAUGCCACACCUGUGAUGUGGAUGGAUUAUCUUGGCAAAGGAGAAGUGCUCACUAACACAGAUUUAGACAGAUGUGUGAACAAUAUGAGAGAAAUAGGCCUUUUGUGUACAUAGAGAAAGUCUUAGAUCUUUGAGUUCAGCUCAUGAUAAAUGUGGGCAAAAACAAAAGUGUUGCGUUCAUAAUUUUGUUCAGUGUAAUUCAAACACAGGAUAAAGGGCCAGGCAAGACCAGACAUAGUAAUAACUGUGUUAUAUAAUGUUGUCCUAUAACUCAGUGAUGGCUCAUGGGGGGGUGGGUCUCUCAACAGGUAGUAGGGCUCAAGGUUCUGGAACUGACAAGGCCUCAUACAUAUCAACAACAUGCUGAUUAUUGUGGUUCAAAACAUUGAAUACAUACAGAAAUUUCCAGGAUGAAAAUUCAGUUGAAAGAUUAGAAAUCAUUUCUAAAAAACUUUGAUAUCUGAUAAAAGGUUAAGGGUAUAAGACUGUGUGUAUACAAGCGUAAGGAACCAAACAAACUUAUAAACCAAAUUUCUAUCAGUAUCUUCGAAUCACAGAGCACACAGGACACGUGACCUGCUAGCAUUAAAACUGGCGGAAAUUAGCCACUUGAUAGCUGCCAUCACAUACAUCUACAGAUCACCUGCAUCUGCUCUAAGACCGGACAAACAGACUGUUUGGUUGCUUUGUGAAACCAGGAACUGAUGAUAAAAGGACGACACACAUCCAUAUAUGAAUUGUUCUGCAAUCUCGGUAGAAAAUAUAACAUCUACAUUACACAAUAAUAUCACUAUUGCUUAUAUUAAAUAUCAUCAGAGGUUAUGAGCAUUGAGAAUCCACUUUUGGAACCAUACGUCUGAGCUCUAGUAUGGACUCAUUACUGACAACAGUCCCAUCAGUUAUAGUCCCUAGAUAAACAGAGCUUUGCCAUUGUCAAGUUAGACAGUUAUUGACAAUCCAUCCAAAAGUUUCUUCUUGCCAACAGAAAAUGCACUGUAUAAAUCUGCUACACAAUAAAAAAAAAAAACAUGAUACAUAGGAUUAUCCCCCUUUCUCUAAAAUGGUCAACCCCCAAAUCUUAUGGAACCCAAUCCCUCAAAUAGCCAAGACGGGAUUAAAGGGAAAGUAGCAUUAGUUUUGUUGAGUUGGCUAAUAUUAGCCACUAGCAAUAAAUGAUGCUAUUGCAUACUGUGUUCACCUUGUCCCUUGCCUUUUACCACCUAUGGAUAAUUUAAAUUGAUCUACUUUGGUUCUUCUUAUAUCAUUAGAAUAUGCAAAAAAUUCUUGCAUGGAUUCAGCCAUCUUUGUAAAUCUUUUUUGUUUUAUGUAAUAACUCUGAAAACAGAAGAGUUAAGUGUAACUUUGCAUGGGACUUUCACAUGUGGUUAUGUUAAAUGCUACCCACCCUUUAAAGACUGGCACAUAUUGGCAUCAUAUCCAACAGACCCCUGUGUCCACCAAACCAAACAACGAUUGUUGCAUAAUUGUUGAAACUAGUCCAAAACAAUUCUCCCAGAAUGUCUCCAUGUUGUGUUACGGAGGGUUCAUUGUCAAAAUGGCUUCCUUCACAAGUUUAAACUCCAAGUCACAUCCUGCUUGCUGUGCUGAAACAACCCAUUGGGACGUGGAAGAAGGAUCCAAAAACAAUGCAUUUAAUGGACAGGCAUAGUCCUCCUUAGACAUGGCUCCGGAGGACCAGUGGAGGAGCAGAGGUGUGUCACUAUUAAAAAGCAGGACUCCUCUGUUUAAUGGAGCGAGAGGUGGUGGGGGUAGUGGAUUGAGCACAACAUUUGCAAAUGGAUACACAAUGUUUUGCCUGGUGAGUUUCCUUCUGUUCCCCUUCUGCCAUCUCUGGCAAUACACCUGGGAAAG